Molecule: ribosomal RNA, 403 nt
Filed under: Belisana sp. 1 FL-2018
Lineage: Eukaryota; Metazoa; Arthropoda; Arachnida; Araneae; Pholcidae
Description: partial 16S ribosomal RNA
Rfam family: Archaeal large subunit ribosomal RNA
Source: RNAcentral
CCUGCUCAAUGAUAGAUUAAAUAGCCGCAGUAAACCUGUGCUAAGGUAGCAUAAUCACUUGCUUUAUAAUUAAAAGAUAGAAUGAAGGGUUAAACGAUGAAAAACUUUUUAGUAUUAUUAAAUUAAUUUAAUUUUAAUGUAAAAAAGCAUUAAUUAAAUAACAAGACGAUAAGACCCUAAUAAACUUAAAAUUUAGUUGGGGCAACAUAAUAACAAAAUCUUAUAAAACUGAUACCUAAAUCUUACAUAGAAAAUUUAAUCUAGUUACUAUAGGGAUAACAGCGCAAUUUCUUUCAAGAGUUCUUAUCUAAAAAGAAUAUUACGACCUCGAUGUUGAAUUAAUGAAUCUAUAAUACGCAAAAGUAUUAAUAAGACAGUCUGUUCGACUAAUAAAGAAUUACAU